GAGUUUGAUCGUGGCUCAGAACGAACGUUAGCGGCGCGCCUAAGACAUGCAAGUCGAGCGAGAAAGGGCUUCGGCCCCGGUAAAGCGGCGCACGGGUGAGUAACACGUAGGUCAUCAACCCUCGAGUGGUGGAUAACCCUCCGAAAGGAGGGCUAAUACAGCAUGAUGCUAGCAAUAGCCAAAGCGAGCCUCUUCAUGAAAGCCCGCGCUGGGGGAUGAGCCUGCGGCCCAUCAGGUAGUUGGCGGAGUAACAGCCCACCAAGCCUAAGACGGGUAGCUGGUCUGAGAGGAUGAACAGCCACACUGGAACUGAGACACGGUCCAGACUCCUACGGGAGGCAGCAGUCGGGAAUCUUCCGCAAUGGGCGAAAGCCUGACGGAGCGACGCCGCGUGAGCGAUGAAGGCC
RNAcentral lists this ribosomal RNA (407 nucleotides) under uncultured delta proteobacterium. Its description in RNAcentral is "bacterial SSU rRNA". It matches the Rfam family "Bacterial small subunit ribosomal RNA", at positions 9 to 416 of the family's 1533-position model. Lineage: Bacteria; Deltaproteobacteria. The record is from RNAcentral.